GGGCGUAAAGAGCUCGUAGGCGGUUUGUCGCGUCUGCUGUGAAAACCCGAGGCUCAACCUCGGGCCUGCAGUGGGUACGGGCAGACUAGAGUGCGGUAGGGGAGAUUGGAAUUCCUGGUGUAGCGGUGGAAUGCGCAGAUAUCAGGAGGAACACCAAUGGCGAAGGCAGAUCUCUGGGCCGUAACUGACGCUGAGGAGCGAAAGCGUGGGGAGCGAACAGGAUUAGAUACCCUGGUAGUCCACGCCGUAAACGUUGGGAACUAGAUGUAGGGACCAUUCCACGGUUUCUGUGUCGCAGCUAACGCAUUAAGUUCCCCGCCUGGGGAGUACGGUCGCAAGACUAAAACUCAAAGGAAUUGACGGGGGCCCGCACAAGCGGCGGAGCAUGCGGAUUAAUUCGAUGCAACGCGAAGAACCUUACCAAGGCUUGACAUAUAGAGGAAACGUCUGGAAACAGUCGCCCCGCAAGGUCUCUAUACAGGUGGUGCAUGGUUGUCGUCAGCUCGUGUCGUGAGAUGUUGGGUUAAGUCCCGCAACGAGCGCAACCCUCGUUCUAUGUUGCCAGCACGUGAUGGUGGGGACUCAUAGGAGACUGCCGGGGUCAACUCGGAGGAAGGUAAU
This 621-nucleotide ribosomal RNA is filed under the name uncultured Actinomycetes bacterium. RNAcentral describes it as "bacterial SSU rRNA". It matches the Rfam family "Bacterial small subunit ribosomal RNA", at positions 556 to 1177 of the family's 1533-position model. The record is from RNAcentral. Lineage: Bacteria; Bacillati; Actinomycetota; Actinomycetes.